AAGCAAAGGACGACAAAGAGAAAAACAUAGGAUUCUUUAUUUGACGUUCAAUUAAAGAACAUUUGCAAUUCAUUUUGCCACGUCGUGACAUACAUACUGCAGAGGACAAUAAACGUUAGACAAUAACUCUGCUGAAACAAACACUAACACGUUACUAAAACACAAUAAUUGCAUUGAAAAUAAAACGACACAACUAAGAGAUAACGAAACCUGUUCAUUUAUCUUUCAUUAUAGAAGUAUAUAGAAAAUAUCUUAUUUUAAUAACGGCAGUCAACAACAUCAUUAAUUUAUUUUCUUUUUUGAAAUCUGUGUUUUUAGUGCUAACUGUAAAUCACUUUCAAUAAUUACUGAUUUGACUAGCCAGUGGUUAUAUUUUUGUCAAUGACUGUGUUUUGUUAGUAAUUGUCCUUGUAUUUCUUUGAUAUUUCAAUCAAAUUCCGCCACGUCGUAGUCAUGAUGCACACAGCAAUCGAAGAAAGUGAGUGUUGGAAACUCAACUCUGAUAUUUUUAGUCAGGCAAGAGAUGGGGAGUAACAAAAAGAAAAACAAGGAUUCUUUGUUUGAUGUUUAAUUACAGAUUGGCCACGUCGUAACCCACUUGUAGUCCCCAAACAUAUAUGCCAUGGACCUACUUCGAAAAUUGUGAUUUUUUCAUGCGUCUAUCGAGGAAGCAAAGAGUUUUCUAACCAUCAUUGAUCUUGCUGCUGUAGUAGUACUUAUAUAUAUAUAUCAACUUUAGCAUGUAUGUCAAUCGUAUAACUUAAUAUUGCAAAUUAAUAAGAAAAUCGAUUAUUUUGUCUUGAGUGAAUUGUCAGAGAAGGGUGAAAUCACUAUAUCGUUUUUACGUCUUAGCCAAUCAAAGCAAAGAGAGUCUUGCUCUCAACCAGUUUUGUAGCGUCUGGGUGAAAGGUCUUUCACUACACUUGGUAAAUAAGGGCAAACAACAAGGCUUGCUGAAUUUUUAUCAUUAUUAUUAUUAUUAUUAUUAUUAUAUAGAAAAUAUCUUAUUUUAAUAACGGCAGUCAAGAACAUCAUUAAUUUAUUUUCUAUUUUGAAAUCUGUGUUUUUAGUGCUAACUGUAAAUCACUUUCAAUAAUUACUGAUUUGACUAGCCAGUGGUUA
Molecule: long non-coding RNA, 1122 nt
Organism: Xenia sp. Carnegie-2017
Lineage: Eukaryota; Metazoa; Cnidaria; Anthozoa; Malacalcyonacea; Xeniidae
Exons: 2
Source: RefSeq, a predicted model, not a curated record